RNAcentral lists this transfer RNA (80 nucleotides) under Correlophus ciliatus (crested gecko). RNAcentral describes it as "tRNA-Ala". Lineage: Eukaryota; Metazoa; Chordata; Lepidosauria; Squamata; Diplodactylidae. The record is from RNAcentral.
CGUUGAUCUAGGGAGGCUUUAGCUUAAUUAAAGUGUCUGAGUUGCAUUCAGGAGAUGUAUUUUAAGGUUGUACAGGCCUU